GACGAACGCUGGCGGCGUGCCUAAUACAUGCAAGUUGAGCGAUGAAGAUUGGUGCUUGCACCAAUUUGAAGAGCAGCGAACGGGUGAGUAACGCGUGGGGAAUCUGCCUUUGAGCGGGGGACAACAUUUGGAAACGAAUGCUAAUACCGCAUAACAACUUUAAACAUAAGUUUUAAGUUUGAAAGAUGCAAUUGCAUCACUCAAAGAUGAUCCCGCGUUGUAUUAGCUAGUUGGUGAGGUAAAGGCUCACCAAGGCGAUGAUACAUAGCCGACCUGAGAGGGUGAUCGGCCACAUUGGGACUGAGACACGGCCCAAACUCCUACGGGAGGCAGCAGUAGGGAAUCUUCGGCAAUGGACGAAAGUCUGACCGAGCAACGCCGCGUGAGUGAAGAAGGUUUUCGGAUCGUAAAACUCUGUUGGUAGAGAAGAACGUUGGUGAGAGUGGAAAGCUCAUCAAGUGACGGUAACUACCCAGAAAGGGACGGCUAACUACGG
RNAcentral lists this ribosomal RNA (496 nucleotides) under uncultured bacterium. RNAcentral describes it as "partial 16S ribosomal RNA". It matches the Rfam family "Bacterial small subunit ribosomal RNA", at positions 28 to 506 of the family's 1533-position model. The record is from RNAcentral.